Molecule: long non-coding RNA, 1448 nt
Filed under: Homo sapiens (human)
Lineage: Eukaryota; Metazoa; Chordata; Mammalia; Primates; Hominidae
Description: HSALNT0196255
Source: RNAcentral
CCCAUAUCAGGAGGUGGCAUUGCACCUAUAGUCAGCCAGGAAGGAGCAAGUUUAAAUACACUGUCCCAUAUAUUAUUAAUCAGUUUCCUAGUCCUGGGACUAGAUCAGUUCAGUUAAACAGCUGUUUCCCAUAUCAGGAGGUGGCAUUGCACACGGGCUAGGCCUCUAUACAUGAUGAAGACAAACAGAUUUUUAAUACGAGGCAUUUCUAUGGAAAUAUAAGAAAAACAAAAGUUAAUGUUGGGCACAAUUUAUCCAGAUGUGAAACUCAAAAUACCUUUAGUUAUAGAGCAGGAAGGCAGUGGUAAUCUGACAUGUUUUUGCCACCUAUAUUAAAAGAAUAAGCUUCAGCUUACAGGGCCUCAGGAAAAAAGGUAGUAGCAAUUUUAUUGAGUCCAAGUCAGAAAAGUGGAAGAAAAAUGUGAAAGCAUUAGUUUGGAAAACAUUAGUUUGGAGCAUUAGUUAGGUAAGCUUCAGGACAGCCAUAGUUAAAGGUGCAGUCAACAAGAAAAACUGGUUAUCUCUGUGACACACAAUUUUUAAAAUCUGGUUUAAUUUUUUUGAAACAGGGUCUCACUCUGUCACGCAGGCUGGAGUGCAGUGGUGUGAUCACAGCUCACUGCAGCCACAAAGAAUUCAGGAUUUAGUCCAAAUUGCAGAAAAUAACAAAAACUCAAGAACAGUGGACAAGACUAGAAUCUAACAAUGGGUGUACUAUAGCUUUUGAAACAUAGUUUUUCUCUCUUUAGUCCCCAUUUUUAUUAAAAACAAAUAGUAGUAGGACAAAUGUAAUUGCGAAAUAAGUCUUAGUCUUAUUAUACUUGGCCUGAUUAUUUGUAUAACGUACAGCAAGAAUAAUUAUUUGCCAUAUAGGCUCUUUAAAAUUGGCUUUGCUGGUCAGGCAUGGUGGCUUACACCUGUAAUCCCAGCACUUUGGGAGGCCAAGGUGGGAGAAACACUUGAGCCCAGGAGUUCAAGACCAGCCUGGGCAACAUAGCGAGAUCCCCGUCUCUACAAAAAUUAGCCAGGUGUGGUGACGCGUGCCUGUAGUCUCAGCUACUUGGGAGGCUGAGGUGGGAGAAUCGCCUGAGCCUGGAUGACAGAGCAAGGCCAUGGCCCAAAAAUAAAUAAAUAAAUAAAAACAAAAUUAGCUUUGCUGAAAUUUCAUUCCCUAAGGAAUCUCACCUUAUACUUUUUAAAGCCUUUAGCCCAGCCAUGGAUUUAUCUAUGCCUGCAAAUACCUGUAUGAGUUGGGAGAAUUUUCCUCCUCUCAAGGUCCCAAGAUAAUUUGGGCUUCUGGGCCUGUCAGAAAGUGACAUUCUUUACUUAUGACAAGUCAGGAACCCUGUACAGAGACUGCAUAUACAAGGUAUAAGCCCAGUUUUCUUUUUUUCUUUUUUUUUUUUUAUUGAUCAUUCUUGGGUGUUUCUCGCGGAGGGGGAUUUGGC